GAUGAACGCUGGCGGCGUGCCUAAUACAUGCAAGUCGAGCGAACAGACGAGGAGCUUGCUCCUUCGACGUUAGCGGCGGACGGGUGAGUAACACGUAGGUAACCUACCUAUAAGACUGGGAUAACUUCGGGAAACCGGAGCUAAUACCGGAUAAUAUUUCGAACCGCAUGGUUCGAUGGUGAAAGAUGGCUUUGCUAUCACUUAUAGAUGGACCUGCGCCGUAUUAGCUAGUUGGUAAGGUAACGGCUUACCAAGGCAACGAUACGUAGCCGACCUGAGAGGGUGAUCGGCCAAACUGGAACUGAGACACGGUCCAGACUCCUACGGGAGGCAGCAGUAGGGAAUCUUCCGCAAUGGGCGAAAGCCUGACGGAGCAACGCCGCGUGAGUGAUGAAGGUCUUCGGAUCGUAAAACUCUGUUAUUAGGGAAGAACAAACGUGUAAGUAACUGUGCACGUCUUGACGGUACCUAAUCAGAAAGCCACGGCUAACUACGUG
RNAcentral lists this ribosomal RNA (497 nucleotides) under uncultured bacterium. Its description in RNAcentral is "partial 16S ribosomal RNA". It matches the Rfam family "Bacterial small subunit ribosomal RNA", at positions 28 to 507 of the family's 1533-position model. The record is from RNAcentral.